This 318-nucleotide ribosomal RNA is filed under the name Triticum aestivum (bread wheat). RNAcentral's name for it is "partial small subunit ribosomal RNA". Lineage: Eukaryota; Viridiplantae; Streptophyta; Magnoliopsida; Poales; Poaceae. The record is from RNAcentral.
CAGGCCGAGCUCAGCCUCGAGCUCACCCUGGCCGCCGACGUGGGUGUGGUGCCGGCGGAGGCAGGCUUUUUCCUCUGCGUCUACUGCUACCGCAGGUUCCGCACCUCGCAGGCACUCGGCGGCCACCAAAACGCGCACAAGCAAGAGCGCGCCGUCGCUAAGCGACGCCGGGAUGCCGCCGCCGCAAUGCGCCCCUCCCCUGCCAGGAAGGCUGCUGCUCGAAUGCCGGAGGAGCCUGCUGGUGGUGUCAUGGCGCACAAGGACGGCAGCAGCUGCCGGGAGAGCGACCCCGAGCUGGACUUGUCUCUCCGUCUGUAA